GGGCCUCGGCCUGGUGGCGAGUGGCGAACGGGUGAGUAAUGCGUCGGAACGUGCCGAGUAAUGGGGGAUAACGCGUCGAAAGGUGUGCUAAUACCGCAUACGCUCUGAGGAGGAAAGCGGGGGACCUUCGGGCCUCGCGUUAUUCGAGCGGCCGACGUCUGAUUAGCUAGUUGGUGGGGUAAAGGCUCACCAAGGCGACGAUCAGUAGCGGGUCUGAGAGGAUGAUCCGCCACACCGGGACUGAGACACGGCCCAGACUCCUACGGGAGGCAGCAGUGGGGAAUUUUGGACAAUGGGCGAAAGCCUGAUCCAGCCAUGCCGCGUGAGUGAAGAAGGCCUUCGGGUUGUAAAGCUCUUUUGUCCGGGAGGAAAUCCCGCAACCCAAUACGUUGCGGGGAUGACAGUACUGGAAGAAUAAGCACCGGCUAACUACGUGCCAGCAGCCGCGGUAAUACGUAGGGUGCAAGCGUUAAUCGGAAUUACUGGGCGUAAAGCGUGCGCAGGCGGUUUGAUAAGUCAGAUGUGAAAUCCCCGGGCUUAACCUGGGAACUGCGUUUGAAACUGUCAGGCUAGAGUACGUCAGAGGGGGGUGGAAUUCCACGUGUAGCAGUGAAAUGCGUAGAGAUGUGGAGGAACACCGAUGGCGA
Molecule: ribosomal RNA, 647 nt
Filed under: uncultured bacterium
Lineage: Bacteria
Description: bacterial SSU rRNA
Rfam family: Bacterial small subunit ribosomal RNA
Source: RNAcentral